Molecule: long non-coding RNA, 81 nt
Organism: Sander lucioperca (pikeperch)
Lineage: Eukaryota; Metazoa; Chordata; Actinopteri; Perciformes; Percidae
Exons: 3
Source: RefSeq, a predicted model, not a curated record
AUGUCUACGCGUGUGAUGCGUCGACGCAAAUUAUUUGUUUCGACGCAUUUACGUAAUCGAUGACGUCGACCCAGCCCUAAU